This 684-nucleotide ribosomal RNA is filed under the name Triticum aestivum (bread wheat). RNAcentral's name for it is "partial small subunit ribosomal RNA". The record is from RNAcentral. Lineage: Eukaryota; Viridiplantae; Streptophyta; Magnoliopsida; Poales; Poaceae.
AUGGGGUUCGACGCCUUCGCGGCAGCGUGUUGUGCUAUUCCAGUACUCGUAUCCGUUCUCGCCGUCCGCGUCGCCUACGUGCUUUGCCGCAGCGGCCUACCGCCGUCGAGGUCUCGUGCCUCCGGGCUGCGGUGUCUCAUCGUCCUCGGGUCUGGAGGGCAUACUGCAGAGAUGAUGAAUAUUGUAUCUGAGCUUCAGAAGGAUCGCUUUACGCCUAGGUACUAUGUGGCUGCACUUACUGAUAACAUGAGCCUUCCAAAGGCACAGGUCUAUGAGAAGUCAUUGAUUCAUGUGGAGGGUGAUAGAGAAAUGAUCAUCGAGAACGCCCAGUUCAUGCAGAUAUAUCGUAGCCGUGAAGUGGGCCAAUCCUACAUUACCUCCAUCGCAACAACACUGCGUGCUACUUUGCAUGCUAUGUGGCUAAUAAUAAGAAUCAGACCACAAGUGAUAUUUUGCAAUGGUCCCGGGACAUGCAUCCCUCUAUGUGCUUCAGCUUUUCUUCUGAAGGUGCUUGGUCUGGGAUGGUCCUCCAUUUUCUACAUUGAAAGUAUCGCAAGAGUGAAGAAGCUUUCGUUAAGUGGUUUACUGUUGUACAAGCUACGGAUGGCCAAUCAGUUCUUCGUGCAGUGGCCCCAGCUGCAACAAAAAUACCCUAGAGCACAAUAUGCUGGCCGUUUGAUGUGA